CUGAGAAUAUUCUCACUCUUCUGGUUUUGUAAUAAUCAGGACAGGCUAAACAUUCGCUAUACUAAGACCAUGCAUGUGUCCCCAGAACUAGGUCUUUUCCCUAGGCCUGGUUUUAUAAAUGCUGGUAAUAAAC
Molecule: small nucleolar RNA, 133 nt
Organism: Dipodomys ordii (Ord's kangaroo rat)
Lineage: Eukaryota; Metazoa; Chordata; Mammalia; Rodentia; Heteromyidae
Gene: SNORA72
Rfam family: Small nucleolar RNA SNORA72
About the family: U72 is a member of the H/ACA class of snoRNAs. The snoRNA gene is located in intron 4 of the ribosomal L30 protein gene in human, mouse and chicken.
Source: Ensembl